GAUGAACGCUGGCGGCGUGCCUAAUACAUGCAAGUCGAGCGAACGGACGAGAAGCUUGCUUUUCUGAUGUUAGCGGCGGACGGGUGAGUAACACGUGGAUAACCUACCUAUAAGACUGGGAUAACUUCGGGAAACCGGAGCUAAUACCGGAUAAUAUUUUGAACCGCAUGGUUCAAAAGUGAAAGACGGUCUUGCUGUCACUUAUAGAUGGAUCCGCGCUGCAUUAGCUAGUUGGUAAGGUAACGGCUUACCAAGGCAACGAUGCAUAGCCGACCUGAGAGGGUGAUCGGCCACACUGGAACUGAGACACGGUCCAGACUCCUACGGGAGGCAGCAGUAGGGAAGCUUCCGCAAAGGGCGAAAGCCUGAAGGAGCAACGCCGCGUGAGUGAUGAAGGUCUUCGGAUCGUAAAACUCUGUUAUUAGGGAAGAACAUAUGUGUAAGUAACUGUGCACAUCUUGACGGUACCUAAUCAGAAAGCCACGGCUAACUACGUG
Molecule: ribosomal RNA, 497 nt
Filed under: uncultured bacterium
Lineage: Bacteria
Description: partial 16S ribosomal RNA
Rfam family: Bacterial small subunit ribosomal RNA
Source: RNAcentral